UACGUAGGUGGCGAGCGUUUGUCCGGAUUUAUUGGGUUUAAAGGGUGCGUAGGCGGCUUUGUAAGUCAGUGGUGAAAUACUCCAGCUUAACUGGAGGGGUGCCAUUGAUACUGCGGAGCUUGAGUACAGAUGAGGUAGGCGGAAUUGACGGUGUAGCGGUGAAAUGCAUAGAUAUCGUCAAGAACACCGAUAGCGAAGGCAGCUUACUGGGCUGUAACUGACGCUGAUGCACGAAAGUGUGGGGAUCAAACAGG
Molecule: ribosomal RNA, 254 nt
Filed under: uncultured bacterium
Lineage: Bacteria
Description: partial 16S ribosomal RNA
Rfam family: Bacterial small subunit ribosomal RNA
Source: RNAcentral